This is a long non-coding RNA of Lates calcarifer (barramundi perch), 1096 nucleotides long. RefSeq lists it as uncharacterized. The record is from RefSeq and is a predicted model, not a curated record. The transcript is spliced from 2 exons. Lineage: Eukaryota; Metazoa; Chordata; Actinopteri; Centropomidae.
GGAAGAGCAGAGAGAGUGUUAAGAUUCAAAGACACAAACUGGAAAACAAACAACUCAGAGUUUAACAUCUCUGAUCAACGGUUCGUCACAGGCAGCGUCACGACUUUACACCGCAACAGGUCCUGAAAAUAAACUCACAACCCGCACAGACACCAAGCAGCUGAACGCAGCACAGGGAUCAUCUGGAGAUGAAAGAUACCAAGCAGUUUGAAUGACAAGUGGGACGUGUUUUAGAAGAGAUGCAGGGGGAGCGAGGAGGACCCUCACUGACCAGGAGGCAAAGGUUUGUUUCACGUCACUCGUCACCAACCGAGAUGCCAGCCCCUCGAAACCUGAGUCACCUGAUUCAGUGGACACGCUGACACGCCUCCUGCUACCUGAGCUACACCAACCAGGAAGUCCCAGUAAAAACAGACUCCAACUCCUGCACCUGUCUGUCUGCGAAAUGCCGACCUGAGAGGGCAGGAAGUGAAACGUUGCUUUACCCUACCUGUGCAGACGUCAUGUCGACAUCCACACACACUUCCUCCUGAGUGACCGCUGCCAUAAAGUCAGGGGGAGGGAGGGGGAGGGAGACAAAGAGACACAGAGAUCCCAGGUGCAGCGGUAACCUGGUAACCUGGACAACACCUGAGCAGCAACUGACAGUCAACAGCAGACACCUGAGGCAGCGGCGUCCUGGGAGUUUAAACAAGUCUUUGUUUAAAGCAGAGCUGCAGCAGUUUACAGGUUACAGCACCUUCCUGACUGCAGGUGGCUGCUCAGAGCUCAGUUUGUGUUUCGUGAUGAGGCAUCAUCUCUGUGUAUGAGAGCUGAAGCUACAGGAGUCGACUACCAAUCAUUCUCACCACCCAUUGAUCUUCACAGCUACGAGGCUGGGAACAGAUUAAUGUUGGCAUUUGUGCUGGAAAAAUGACUUUUACAAUCACUGGGUUAUGUCGAAUGUCUCUACCAGAUAGCACUGUCAGACAGGAGCAGAUGGAUUAGUGUGUGUGUCUCUGUAACUGUGAGUAUUAGCUGUUCACUGAGGAUUUCAUUCUGCAGAGGAGAAUGUAAUAACACAGUAAAGCUUAAAUUAAAUGGAUAGAAACCUAAA